GGCCUUGGGGACAUCUUCGAGUGGCUUUCGCUUCCCCCCGGCCCAUCCUGUGGGAUUGCGGUCUGGGGACACCUCACCAAAAUCCUCGAAGACUCUUUGGGGCUUUUCCGUUCCCUUUUCUCCCUUCCGCUUUUUUUAUUUGUUUAUUUUUUUUUAACAUUCUUCCCCUUUCUGAGCCCUUGGCUGGGUCCGGCUCUGCUUCAUCCGCGGGGGCACAAAUUUCCAGUGAGGAUUGGUGUGAAAAUGGGAUUUUCUUACUUAUUUCUCAUCAUUAAUUAAUUAUCCCCCGAGCGCCACGGUAACAGAGGCGCUCCCCGAGGCUGGGAAUUCUGCUUUUCCCGAAUUUCCCGGUCCAGCCUCCCCCCAAAAGGAUCUUUGGGAAUGGGGAAGCUCGGCUGGGCUGCUCUAGGUGGCAGCAGCCUCCUUCCCUUUCCCGAGCCAUUCCCGCUCUUCAUCCACCUCCCCACCCCUCCUCCUCCUCCUCCUCCUCCAUCUCCCUUCCCCCUCUCCAUCCAUCCCUGCGUGUCCCCCCUGGAAUUCGGGUUUUGGGGGGGUUGGACGGGGCUUGGAGCGCCCUGGGCUGGGGGAAUUGUUCUGGUCUUGGAAGGGGACAAGGUUCCUGUUCUUCCACCCCAGCCCGCAGGUCCCAUCCUGCUCAGGGAGCCAAAAUUCCCUCUCAGUUUGACCCAAAAUUCCCCCCAGUUUGACCCAAAAUUCCCCCCAGUUUGAACCAAAAUUCCCACUCAAUUUGAUUCAAAAUUCCCCCCCAAUUUGACCCAAAACCCCAGUGAAAUCCCAAAAACCCAAUGACACCCCAAAAACUCAGUGGCACCCCAAAAUUCAGUGACACCCCUAAAACCCGGUAAAAUCCCAAAAUCCCAGUGAAAUCCCCAAAACCCUAUGAAAUCCCUAAAACCCAGUGAAAUCCCAAAAACCUGGUGAAAUCCCAAAAUUCUGCGACACCCUAAAAACCUGGUGACACCCCUAAAACCCCAUGAAAUCCCAAAAACCUAGUGACAGCCCUAAAACCUCUUGACACCCUAAAACCCAGUGACACCCCAAAGACAUCCCAAAUACCCAGUGACACCCUAAAACCCAUUGAAACCCCAAAAACCCUGCAAAACCCCAAAAACCCCAUGAAAACCCCAAAAACCCCGGCCGUCCUUGCCCAAGGACUCGCAGCUCCAGCCCCGCCGUGGGGUUUUGAGCGUGAAAACCUCGAGAGCAGCGAAGCAAAAAUUGCAUUUCCUGAAAAAUUGCAUUUCCUGCUGCGGCUGCAGGAACGCGGGAGGGAACGAGCGGCGUCAGCAGCGCCAGCACUGCCUACCUCAGGCACCUGGAUUUUCCAAAAGUGGGUGGGAUGGAGAUGAAGACAAGAAGAGGAGGAGGAAGAAGAGGAGGAAGAGGAGGAACCACUCCAGGCACCUGGAUUUUCCAAAAGUGGGUGGGAUGGAGAUGAAGACAAGAAGAGGAGGAGGAAGAGGAGGAACCGCUCCAGGUGGGAACAGCGACAUUCCUGCUGCUCCAUCCCACCGCACCCCAGCAGCUCCCACCCAUUUUUUUCACUUUUUGACCCAAAAUUGGCUUCCUCACCACUGCCUACCUCAGGCACCUGGAUUUUCCAAAAGUGGGUGGGAUGGAGAUGAAGACAAGAAGAGGAGGAGGAAGAGGCGGAACCGCUCCAGGUGUGAACAGGGAUGUUCCUGCUUCUCCACCCCACCCCAGCCCAGUAGCUCCCACCCAUUUUUUCCACUUUUUGACCCAAAAUUGGCUUCCUCAGCACUGCCCACCUCAGGCAGCAACUCCAGGUGACACCUGGAUUUUCCACAGUUGGAUGGGAUGGAAACAGGGAGAGGAGGAGGAACCGCUCCAGGUGUGAACAGGGAUGUUCCUGCUCCUCCAUCCCACCACACCCCAGCAGCUCCCACCCGUUUUUUUCACUUUUUGACCCAAAAUUGGCUUUCCCAGCACUGCCCACCCCAGACAGCAGCUCACCUGAGGUGCCACCUGAGGUGCCACCUGUGUUUCCAGGGCUGUGGACCUUGGCCCCGCUCCCCAGCACCUGUGGUUGCCCCGGAGCUUUCCCGGUUAUCGCUCCUGCCCCAGCCUCGGGAACAGCUGGGAAACAGCCGGAUUUACCGGAUGAGGGAUCCUUCCUCCUCCUCCCUCCUCCUCCUCCCUCCCCGGGCUGGAGCUGGGAACAAAAGGAGGAAAAUCAGCGGGGAUGGGACAGCCCUGUUUGCUUCCCGAGAGUGGGAACAGCCUGGAGCUCUGUCCCGAGGGUUUGGCCUUGAGGCCGUUUUGUUUUGUCCCUUUUAAAGGAACAUUUCAGCCACGGGAGGAGCUGGGAUUGAGAGCCCAGAAAUGCCAAAGGCCCAAAGGGGAAAGGAAGAGGGAAAAGUUGGGGAAAUGGGGAGGUACCAGCUUGUCCUGGUGUGAGGAAUGGUCACAAAUCCCAUCUCUGGGAAAAACAAAUCCCAUAUUUGGGAAACAGAAACAAAUUCCAUCUUUGGGAAAAUCAAAUCCCACCCUUGAGAAACAAAUCCAAUCUCUGGGAAAAACAAAUCCCAUAUUUGGGAAACAGAAACAAAUUCCAUCUUUGGGAAACAGAAACAAAUUCUAUCUUUGGGAAAAUCAAAUCCCACCCUUGGGAAACAAAUCCAAUCUCUGGGAAAAACAAAUCCCAUAUUUGGGAAACGGGAACAAAUUCCAUCUUUGGGAAACAGAAAUAAAUCCCAUCUUUGGGAAGAACAAAUCCCAUGUUUGGGAAAAAGAAACAAAUCCCGUAUUUGGGAAACAGAAAUAGAUCCCAUCUUUGGGACAAACAAAUCCCAUAUUUGGGAAAAAACAAAUCCCAUUUUUGGGAAAAAGAAACGAAUCCCAUCUUUGGGAAAAUCAAGUCCCACCUUUGGGAAAAGCAUUGCUUUUCUUUCUCCUGUCUCUGGGUUGUUGGUGGGACUCAGUGACCCUAGCGGGUUUUCCAACCUGAGCAAUUCCACUUUUCCCACUUUUCUGGACUCUCAGCCCUUGCUGGCCUCAGACUGAGGCGCCUGCAGCUCCUCGGAGACGCAAACCUGGGAAUCGUUUCAGGAAGGAGCCGAGCGGGCACGGAAAGACCGGGAGAACAAGACACAUCACGUUCCCCGGAUGAUAAUGAGGGAAUGAAAUUAAACCACCUGGGAGACCAAAACUCUCCUUCCUUCCUUCCUUCCUUCCUUCCUUCCUCAGGAGCAGCUUCCCCUCCACGGCAGCAAUUCCUGCCUGAGCUAUCACCCGUGGAAAAUCCAGAAAUGAAUCACGGCCAGGAUUGGGGAACGCCGCUCAGAUAAUUCCUAAAGCUGUUGUUCCAACCCAAUAAAACCCCGUGCAACAACAAGGGGCGUCCCAUAAUUUGUGUUAAUUCCGGAAUCGCUGCUAAUUCCGGCCCAAUUAGGAGAUAAAACACGGCGCCGGAGCCGCUUAUUAAAUUACAAAUCAUCCCGGCUAAAUCCGAGGAUUAUUUAACACCGAGGGUUUGGGGGAGCUGCGCCGGAAUAACAAUGUCAGGGGAGCAGGGGCGUUAAUCAAAGUAAUGAAAACAUAAAUUAGGGGAGGCUGGGCCAAUAAACAGGAAAUAAAUAGGGUUGGAGGGAGAGAAAUGCAUAAAGCAGCAGCAUUAAAGGAUAAACCCGCAGUGUUGGGAGCGCUGUAAAUUCCCAACCGUUUUCCCCAGGAUUGGAUUUUCGGGGCUGAUUUGUGGCCGUGUCCCGGCGAACCGGCGAGAUGAUAAAUACAGAGAUUUCUGCACCCCCAGCUGCCACCAAACCCUCCUGGGGGACGCCCAGAGCUCCCAGGUCCCUCCUGGAAUUUCUGCCCUGCUCAGGGAUGAGACCUGGCUGCUCAUUCCUGGGAAAUGGAGCCAAAAUAGGGGGUGGAGUGAAAAUAUUGGGGUUUAACUUGGGAUUCACUCUGUUCUGCCUUUGGGGGGCUGAAGGACGGGGAGUAGGUUCAGGUGGAUCUGCACACCCAGUUUAGGAUCUGGGAGCAGGGUCAGUGUUUGCUGCCCUAUGGAUCUGA
Molecule: long non-coding RNA, 4056 nt
Organism: Zonotrichia leucophrys gambelii
Lineage: Eukaryota; Metazoa; Chordata; Aves; Passeriformes; Passerellidae
Exons: 3
Source: RefSeq, a predicted model, not a curated record